GACCUUUUCAUUAAUCGCGGAGCCCCUAUAUAGGGUUUGCCGGCCUCGGCCGGCUAUGGGGAUAAACGACGGCGUGCAAUAGGCGCAGCGGACCCGGGGGCGGUACCC
This 108-nucleotide transfer-messenger RNA is filed under the name Bradyrhizobium sp. RNAcentral describes it as "partial transfer-messenger RNA". It matches the Rfam family "Alphaproteobacteria transfer-messenger RNA", at positions 1 to 106 of the family's 355-position model. From Rfam's summary of the family: Bacterial tmRNA, also known as 10Sa RNA or SsrA, is named for its dual tRNA and mRNA-like properties. Its role is to liberate the mRNA from a stalled ribosome. The record is from RNAcentral. Lineage: Bacteria; Pseudomonadati; Pseudomonadota; Alphaproteobacteria; Hyphomicrobiales; Nitrobacteraceae.